CGUCUAUAUACGUAUAGCAUAUCAAUAAGCGGAGGAAAAGAAACUAACAAGGAUUCCCUUAGUAACGGCGAGUGAAGCGGGAAGAGCUCAAAUUUGAAAUCUUCAAGGUUCUACCUUGACGAAUUGUAGUUUAAAGAAGUGUUUUCUGUUAGAGGAGUAGCGAAAGUUCCUUGGAAUGGGACAUCAUAGAGGGUGAGAAUCCCGUAUUUGGUUAUUCUUUCUAGCUUUGUGAUACACUUUCAAAGAGUCGGAUUGUUUGGGAAUGCAGUCCAAAAUGGGUGGUAAAUUUCAUCUAAAGCUAAAUAUUGGCGAGAGACCGAUAGCGAACAAGUACCGUGAGGGAAAGAUGAAAAGAACUUUGAAAAGAGAGUUAAACAGUACGUGAAAUUGUCAAAAGGGGAGCGUUUGACACCAGUGUUGUUUUUCCGAAAAUCAAUUAAGAGUGGCUUGAUUUUGUGUUGUAUUGACCUUAUCAGCUUUCUUCACUCUUUUUCGAGUCUUUCUUAAUGCACUUUUCGGUUAACAAGUCAACAUCAAUUUCUUUUGUUGUAAAAGGGUAUUUGGAAGGUGGCUUUCUUUUCGGAGAAAGUGUUUAUAGCCUUAUACCUCUACAAUCGGAGAGAUUGAGGUCUGCAGCGUAGAUCCUUCGGGGCUAGAUACACUUGUGCUAAGUUAUAGCUUUUCAUAGACAACUUGUUGACUAUGUUUAGUCAUGUAGCUUACCCGCUUGUGCUAUUUUACCUACGCUUAGGAUGUUGAGUCAUCACACAUCUCU
RNAcentral lists this ribosomal RNA (775 nucleotides) under uncultured Neocallimastigales. RNAcentral's name for it is "partial large subunit ribosomal RNA". It matches the Rfam family "Eukaryotic large subunit ribosomal RNA", at positions 26 to 618 of the family's 3401-position model. The record is from RNAcentral. Lineage: Eukaryota; Fungi; Neocallimastigomycota; Neocallimastigomycetes; Neocallimastigales.